Molecule: ribosomal RNA, 492 nt
Filed under: uncultured bacterium
Lineage: Bacteria
Description: partial 16S ribosomal RNA
Rfam family: Bacterial small subunit ribosomal RNA
Source: RNAcentral
AGUGAACGCUGGCGGUAGGCCUAACACAUGCAAGUCGAACGGCAGCACAGUAAGAGCUUGCUCUUACGGGUGGCGAGUGGCGGACGGGUGAGGAAUACAUCGGAAUCUACUUUUUCGUGGGGGAUGACGUAGGGAAACUUACGCUAAUACCGCAUACGACCUACGGGUGAAAGCAGGGGAUCUUCGGACCUUGCGCGAUUGAAUGAGCCGAUGUCGGAUCAGCUAGUUGGCGGGGUAAAGGCCCACCAAGGCGACGAUCCGUAGCUGGUCUGAGAGGAUGAUCAGCCGCACUGGAACUGAGACACGGUCCAGACUCCUACGGGAGGCAGCAGUGGGGAAUAUUGGACAAUGGGCGCAAGCCUGAUCCAGCCAUACCGCGUGGGUGAAGAAGGCCUUCGGGUUGUAAAGCCCUUUUGUUGGGAAAGAAAAGCAGCAGGUUAAUACCCCGCUGUUCUGACGGUACCCAAAGAAUAAGCACCGGCUAACUUCGUG